RNAcentral lists this transfer RNA (76 nucleotides) under Candidatus Cloacimonadota bacterium. RNAcentral's name for it is "tRNA-Val". It matches the Rfam family "tRNA". Rfam says of the family: Transfer RNA (tRNA) molecules are approximately 80 nucleotides in length. Their secondary structure includes four short double-helical elements and three loops (D, anti-codon, and T loops). Further hydrogen bonds mediate the characteristic L-shaped molecular structure. tRNAs have two regions of fundamental functional importance: the anti-codon, which is responsible for specific mRNA codon recognition, and the 3' end, to which the tRNAs corresponding amino acid is attached (by aminoacyl-tRNA synthetases). tRNAs cope with the degeneracy of the genetic code in two manners: having more than one tRNA (with a specific anti-codon) for a particular amino acid; and 'wobble' base-pairing, i.e. permitting non-standard base-pairing at the 3rd anti-codon position. The record is from RNAcentral. RNAcentral also lists the same sequence under 1 other name. Lineage: Bacteria; Pseudomonadati; Candidatus Cloacimonadota.
GGGUGAUUAGCUCAGUCGGUAGAGCGCUACGUUCACAUCGUAGAAGUCACUGGUUCGAGUCCAGUAUUGCCCACCA